UACAUGUGGGGCAAGCGUUGUUCGGAAUUACUGGGCAUAAAGCGCACGUAGGCGGACUCUUAAGUCGGUGGUGAAAUCCUGGAGCUCAACUCCUGAACUGCCUUCGAUACUGAGAGUCUCGAGUCCGAGAGAGGUGAGUGGAACUGCGAGUGUAGAGGUGAAAUUCGUAGAUAUUCGCAAGAACACCAGUGGCGAAGGCGGCUCACUGGCUCGGUACUGACGCUGAGGUGCGAAAGCGUGGGGAGCAAACAGG
This 253-nucleotide ribosomal RNA is filed under the name uncultured bacterium. Its description in RNAcentral is "partial 16S ribosomal RNA". It matches the Rfam family "Bacterial small subunit ribosomal RNA", at positions 524 to 776 of the family's 1533-position model. The record is from RNAcentral.